Molecule: unclassified non-coding RNA, 228 nt
Filed under: Hevea brasiliensis (rubber tree)
Lineage: Eukaryota; Viridiplantae; Streptophyta; Magnoliopsida; Malpighiales; Euphorbiaceae
Source: RNAcentral
CCUGAAAUCAUUUCAAACCAUGACUCCAUUGUCCCAAUACUUAAAUCCCUUUCAGCUGGUCGAUCAUUUGAUUCAUCUGAAUUGUCAGUAUUUUUCUCCAACUCAAAAUUAGUUGUUACUCCAUCAAAUUCAGUCCCAAAAUUAGAACUCACAAGAGGAUCAAUAUUCUCAAAGUGAGAGUUUUUAAUUUCAUUCGUUGCUGCCACUAGCUCAAAAUCUACUAUUCUU